AGGCUAUGAUGUGAACUCUUUCUCAAUAGAUCUUUGAAUAUCUCCCAAGCUUCAUAAGAGCUCUCUUGAUCAUGGUGAGUAAAAGUCAUUAUCUCAUUGUGAAGCUU
RNAcentral lists this small nucleolar RNA (107 nucleotides) under Jatropha curcas. Its description in RNAcentral is "Plant small nucleolar RNA R71". It matches the Rfam family "Plant small nucleolar RNA R71". Rfam says of the family: R71 is a member of the C/D box family of snoRNAs containing the C (UGAUGA) and D (CUGA) box motifs. Multiple nearly identical copies of this snoRNA have been identified in Arabidopsis, and it is thought to function as a 2'-O-ribose methylation guide for 18S ribosomal RNA. The record is from Rfam by way of RNAcentral. Lineage: Eukaryota; Viridiplantae; Streptophyta; Magnoliopsida; Malpighiales; Euphorbiaceae.